This 253-nucleotide ribosomal RNA is filed under the name uncultured bacterium. RNAcentral describes it as "partial 16S ribosomal RNA". It matches the Rfam family "Bacterial small subunit ribosomal RNA", at positions 524 to 776 of the family's 1533-position model. The record is from RNAcentral.
UACGUAGGGUGCGAGCGUUAAUCGGAAUUACUGGGCGUAAAGCGCGCGUAGGCGGCGCGGUAUGUCGUGCGUGAAAUCUCCCGGCUUAACUGGGAGGGGCCGUGCGAAACUGCCGGGCUUGAGGUCGGAAGGGGAAAGUGGAAUUCCGGGUGUAGUGGUGGAAUACGUAGAUAUCCGGAGGAACACCAGCGGCGAAGGCGGCUUUCUGGUCCGAUACUGACGCUGAGGUGCGAAAGCGUGGGGAGCGAUCCGG